UGGCAGGAAGAUGGGAUCACUGAGAACCAGCACAAUUUUGGGCCAACCUCAAUUGCUCCUCGCCUCCAUCCUGUUGGUUUCUGGUCCCCUCAGUCCUGUCUCUACCCUGGAACACCUAUUGUGUAACGUCUGCCCCCUGCAUGAAAAAUCUGAGUUGUGUCCAAACUUCACCACCGAGUGUCGGCCCGGCGAGCGCUGCACCAGCUCAAGAGGCUUCUACGGUGCCCUUCACGUCCUUUCCGCUCAGGGCUGCAUCAGUGCCGACCUCUGUGGUUCCUAUGAGAUGGUCACUUACAGAGGAAUCAAAUAUAAACUUCGUUAUGCUUGCUGCUGCGGAAACACAUGUAACGAGGCGCCUGAAUCCAAAACCACACUGAAGGAGCUGCUGCAGAUGAUCCAAGCUAAAGCAAAUGGCACUGAGGCUGCUGUGGAAAAGCCUUUGGCUGUGUGUGCAAAUAACACACUAAUAGAAACCAGUGCUCCUCCUGCUGUUAAGGCAUAGAUUAGUGUCUGUCUGCUAGAGGCCUGUUUACCUACAGAGUCCUCUGAGUCUCCCAAAAAAAGGACUUUCAUUUGGUCAAAUGUUUGCAUGCUUUGGGAUUUUCCUCUUGUGUUUGUAAUGAGGGUGGGG
Molecule: long non-coding RNA, 631 nt
Filed under: Oryzias latipes (Japanese medaka)
Lineage: Eukaryota; Metazoa; Chordata; Actinopteri; Beloniformes; Adrianichthyidae
Description: partial Ollin768
Source: RNAcentral